UACGGGGGGGGCAAGCGUUGUUCGGAAUUACUGGGCGUAAAGGGCUCGUAGGUGGCCAACUAAGUCAGACGUGAAAUCCCUCGGCUUAACCGGGGAACUGCGUCUGAUACUGGAUGGCUUGAGAUUGGGAGAGGGAUGCGGAAUUCCAGGUGUAGCGGUGAAAUGCGUAGAUAUCUGGAGGAACACCGGUGGCGAAGGCGGCAUCCUGGACCAACACUGACGCUGAGGGAGCGAAAGCCAGGGGAGCAAACGGG
This 254-nucleotide ribosomal RNA is filed under the name uncultured bacterium. RNAcentral describes it as "partial 16S ribosomal RNA". It matches the Rfam family "Bacterial small subunit ribosomal RNA", at positions 524 to 776 of the family's 1533-position model. The record is from RNAcentral.